CUCUCUAACUUCUCUCUAGCCUCCCUAAACCCCUCCCAAGUCUAGGGAACCUCCCUAUCACGAGAAAAAAGCCCCGGAGCGCCCGACGGCUCCGAGAAGAAAAGCUUUCGGCUCGGAAACGCUGCUCCAGCGAAGCCCGGUUUUUAAUAAAAACCCAUUGUUUUGGUCAAGGAAAAAUUGUUUUAAGAAGUAACGAAGAGCUGUCCGAGUGCCGAGUCACCACCUUACCAGGUGUUGAUAUGAAGUGACAUUACACUGAGAGAUUUAAAGAGAUGUAGAUCACUAGUGUAAAUAAUUGAGGAGGCUAGGUCGGGUUGUCGAGCACGAAAGGUUAUCCGACAUCGUACGAGGUACCAGCGAUGAUCGCAGGAAGGCGCCGGCAUGAUCUGUACACAUUGAUGGAGUUUUAUGUAUUUGAGAUCUUGGGAUUGUUUUAUUUGGUGGACAUGUGUUACAUUGGAUUUUGAUAUUUCUUAUGAAUGAAAUUAUGUUUUAAAAAUGAAAAAAAUUGUUUUGGAAAUUCACGUUGUUACAUUGAGUGUUAAUGGAUCGGGGCGGAUCAUCUUUUCAAAAUUUUAAAAUGGUUUGGAUCAAUGGUGGUUCGCUACAAACCCGCCCCAUUGACAAAUUUACCGAAAUGUCAAUCUUCCAAAAAUUGUCAAAAUAUGGGACCAUAGUAUCGAGUCGGGUUAAACAAAGGAGGAGGGACUCGACUAAACUCGGGCCCGAAAUGCCCUAUUCCAUACUAGUUUGUCAUUUAAAAAAACAAAUUGAGAUUAUUUUCUUUAAUUUAACAAUAUAAUAGUUACUUUAAUCAAUAUUCCAUGAUUUUAUAAAACUGGUUGGGUCCACCAACCAAGAUCACCCCAUCGUGGCCGACCCAAGAGGAGUGCGGAAAGUGCCUUUGAAAAGGGCCCAUUCUUCUUUAGAGACCUAAAUUUUUUGUCCUACUUAAUACCAGUCUAUAUUUUUUUAGGCUCAAGUCUCUUUAGGUUAAUUAAUGUUCACAACUUCAUGUACUCGGAACUCGAGACGUGUGAAGUUAAUCUGGAAAUUGGAAAACGAGAAUGUCGCAUGAGUUUCUCGAUGAUCAAUUGUCAAUUGGUGAUACAUUUGAAACUAAGGGCAAC
Lactuca sativa (garden lettuce) is the source of this 1130-nucleotide long non-coding RNA. RefSeq lists it as uncharacterized. The record is from RefSeq and is a predicted model, not a curated record. NCBI's taxonomy places the organism in Eukaryota, Viridiplantae, Streptophyta, Magnoliopsida, Asterales, Asteraceae.